Molecule: RNase P RNA, 440 nt
Rfam family: Bacterial RNase P class A
About the family: Ribonuclease P (RNase P) is a ubiquitous endoribonuclease, found in archaea, bacteria and eukarya as well as chloroplasts and mitochondria. Its best characterised activity is the generation of mature 5'-ends of tRNAs by cleaving the 5'-leader elements of precursor-tRNAs.
GAAGCAAGCCAGACCGCCGUUGGUGCGAUCGUGGAAACACGGCACUGGAGGAAGGUCCGGACUGCAUAGAGCGGCGUAGCAGCUAACGGCUGCCCGGCGAAAGCCGAGGAUCAGAGCAACAGAGACGAGUCGGACCGAGUGCGGUUCGGGUGUUCUGUGCGAACGGGGCGCAAGCCCCAACCCGCGAUGCGGAAGCAUCGUGGGCGACGCGAAAGCGUCGAUGCGCAUAGCCACCCGGGCCGAACUACGCUCGGCCCGGGUGAAACGGGCAAUCUCUACGCGCAGCAACACCAAGUAGGCCAGCGUCGAUGCGGCUCGCAGAGCUGGCGGGUAGGUGGCACCGAGCCGGGCAGUGAUGCCCGGCCCAGAUGAAUGGCGGUCACGCGGCGAAUCGCAAGAGGAGUCGCGCACAGAAUCCGGCCUAUCGGCUUGCUUCACCU